RNAcentral lists this ribosomal RNA (609 nucleotides) under uncultured fungus. RNAcentral's name for it is "eukaryotic LSU rRNA". It matches the Rfam family "Eukaryotic large subunit ribosomal RNA", at positions 23 to 673 of the family's 3401-position model. Lineage: Eukaryota; Fungi. The record is from RNAcentral.
ACCCGCUGAACUUAAGCAUAUCAAUAAGCGGAGGAAAAGAAACCAACAGGGAUUGCCUUAGUAACGGCGAGUGAAGCGGCAAAAGCUCAAAUUUGAAAUCGGCCACCAGGUCGAGUUGUAAUUUGUAGAUUGUAUCUUGAGAGCGGAUUAAAGUCUGUUGGAACACAGCGCCUUAGAGGGUGACAGCCCCGUAAAAUCUAUUCUCAUUGUAAGAUACUUUCGAAGAGUCGAGUUGUUUGGGAAUGCAGCUCUAAGUGGGAGGUAAAUUCCUUCUAAAGCUAAAUAUUGACGAGAGACCGAUAGCGAACAAGUACUGUGAAGGAAAGAUAAAAAGCACUUUGAAAAGAGAGUGAAAAAGUACGUGAAAUUGUUAAAAGGGAAGGGUAUUGAAUCAGACUUGGUGCUGUUGUUCAACUGUGUUUCGGCAUAGUGUACUCAGCAGUACUAGGCCAAGGUGGGGUGUUUGGGAGUGAAAAAGAAGUUGGAACGUAACUCUUCGGAGUGUUAUAGCCUACUUUCAUAGCUCCUCAGGCGCCUCAGGACUGCGCUUCGGCAAGGACCUUGGCAUAAUGAUUCUAUACCGCCCGUCUUGAAACACGGACCAAGGAG